GCGAACGGGUGAGUAACACGUGGGUGAUCUGCCCUGCACGUUCGGGAUAAGCCUGGGAAACUGGGUCUAAUACCGGAUAGGAGCCAUUUUUAGUGUGAUGGUUUGAAAGUUUUUUCGGUGUAGGAUGAGCUCGCGGCCUAUCAGCUUGUUGGUGGGGUAAUGGCCUACCAAGGCGGCGACGGGUAGCCGGCCUGAGAGGGUGGACGGCCACAUUGGGACUGAGAUACGGCCCAG
This 234-nucleotide ribosomal RNA is filed under the name uncultured Actinomycetales bacterium. RNAcentral describes it as "partial 16S ribosomal RNA". It matches the Rfam family "Bacterial small subunit ribosomal RNA", at positions 98 to 334 of the family's 1533-position model. Lineage: Bacteria; Bacillati; Actinomycetota; Actinomycetes; Actinomycetales. The record is from RNAcentral.